This 85-nucleotide transfer RNA is filed under the name Caudoviricetes sp. Its description in RNAcentral is "tRNA-Leu". It matches the Rfam family "tRNA". Rfam says of the family: Transfer RNA (tRNA) molecules are approximately 80 nucleotides in length. Their secondary structure includes four short double-helical elements and three loops (D, anti-codon, and T loops). The record is from RNAcentral. Lineage: Duplodnaviria; Heunggongvirae; Uroviricota; Caudoviricetes.
GCUCCUGUGGUGGAAUAGGUAGACACAUCAGACUUAAAAUCUGCUGAGGAAACUCAUACGGGUUCGAGUCCCGUCAGGAGCACCA